RNAcentral lists this long non-coding RNA (657 nucleotides) under Rosa chinensis. Its description in RNAcentral is "sRNA RchiOBHm_Chr3g0479431". Lineage: Eukaryota; Viridiplantae; Streptophyta; Magnoliopsida; Rosales; Rosaceae. The record is from RNAcentral.
CUUUGUCGAACCGAGCCCAGCCCUCUGAGGCUCUGACCCUCUCUCAAACUAUCCUUCGAGGAGUUCGAGCGCAUCGCGGCAUCCCUGAGCCCAAACCUGGACGGCGUCUCCUUCAAUCAAACCAUUCGAUUUCAUUUCACAUCACAUCAAAUCCAUUCGAUUCAUUCCCAGAUUUCCUAUUGCUGAUCUGGGGGGACAAAGAAUGAGGUACAAAGCAGGUUUGGGCUUUUUAAAAUUUCAGUUGGGUCGUAGCCGAAUUAUGGCUCAAUUAUAAACUCGGUUGGAGGCCCAACCAACCGAUACCGAGAUCUUGGUAUACCGACUUCUGUGGUCGGUAAUGGGAGAAGAUUUUAUGUACCAAAUUAGUCUGGUAUGGUAGGCGGUUUUGGGCCUGCAGCUCCGGUACCGAACCGAACCCACCCCUACAACCUGGCCUAUUAGACGAUGCCCAACUUACAAGAUGAUGAGCUACUGCAUUGCUUUCUCUAUAAAUAUGUUUAAAGUAAGACGUCGGCAACUUAGAAAGAAGAGAUAAAUGUCACCAUACACUGAUCUUAGUUGAACAUCAGGACCUUGUACAUUUGAUAACGCCUUUGACUAAUUAUAAGCAGUGGUGGAUCCAUAAACUUUUUUCAGGUUGGGUAAAAAAAAAUUACU